AUGCUCGCUAUGGCAGCACAUAAACUAAAUUUGGAGCGAUGCUGAGAAGAUUAUCAUGGCCCUUGCACAAGGAUGACAUGUAAAUUCCUAAAGCAUUCCAUAUUUUU
RNAcentral lists this small nuclear RNA (107 nucleotides) under Meriones unguiculatus (Mongolian gerbil). The record is from RNAcentral. Lineage: Eukaryota; Metazoa; Chordata; Mammalia; Rodentia; Muridae.